UACGGAGGAUGCGAGCGUUAUCCGGAUUUAUUGGGUUUAAAGGGUGCGUAGGCGGGAUGCCAAGUCAGCGGUAAAAAUGCGGUGCUCAACGCCGUCGAGCCGUUGAAACUGGCGUUCUUGAGUGGGCGAGAAGUAUGCGGAUGCGUGGUGUAGCGGUGAAAUGCAUAGAUAUCACGCAGAACUCCGAUUGCGAAGGCAGCAUACCGGCGCCCUACUGACGCUGAGGCACGAAAGCGUGGGUAUCGAACAGG
RNAcentral lists this ribosomal RNA (251 nucleotides) under uncultured bacterium. RNAcentral's name for it is "partial 16S ribosomal RNA". It matches the Rfam family "Bacterial small subunit ribosomal RNA", at positions 524 to 776 of the family's 1533-position model. The record is from RNAcentral.